UCUGCCUGCUGGACUGCUGUGUGCAUCACAUUUCCUUUCACACACUUGUGUGAAAAUGUUCAGAGUCCUGUUGGUGCCUUUAGCCUGACUGCUCAGUGAGGCAUGUGUUGGUAGUGAAAGCUAAAUAUACUGGAACAUAAGAGGGACUGAAACCCCAGCAAGGUCCAGCAGGAUGCCUGUGCAGCAUUGGAUACUGAAAGCCUGACCCUGUUACAACCUCUGGCAUGGAUUGAAGGUUUAGGAAUGCAGCUGCUGAGGAAUUCAGUAAGCAACCACUUUGUCCAAAUUUCUCAAUCCUUCUGUAUCCUGCUUUCUUUGAACCUGUGGGAAAGUCAAGACAUGUCUAGCAGAAGUAGCUACAAAAUAGCAAUUGGUGCUGCUAUUAAAACUGAGGUAAAUUACACAGAACUGUCCUGUUGGUGUAAAUGCAGCAGCUACAAAACACUGUGUUUAAAAAAAAAGACAUGUAACCUUUACUAAUUCUGCAAUUGUUGAUAAUGGGAACAGAGAAACCAGAGGGCCCAGAUGAACCACAGAACAUGUGCCCAAUUAUGUUCUGCCUCUGUAUUUGGAUAAGUGGGACUGAUUGCUGCCAUCAUCAGAGGCUGGUUUCCAUGGACAGAAAAUCUACACAUGAGGAUUGCACAGGAGGAGAGGAGCUGGAACAGGACCCCUGAUGAACCAAAUGUUGUGCUGUGAUUAACAAGCCUUUACCCUUAGCAGCCUUGCAAUACUUCCCUUUCCAUAUCUGCCUUUCAGAGGAGGGAAGAGGUGCUGAUGAUUACCUUGCUACCACAUAUCAGCAUGGUCUUGUGCAGCUUAUGUAUGACUUUCUUGGAUAGGAAGAACAGUGAAGGUAGCUGAGAUUGCUUGUGCUAGCAAAUGUAGGGUCUCUGGAGCACUGU
Molecule: long non-coding RNA, 905 nt
Organism: Passer domesticus (house sparrow)
Lineage: Eukaryota; Metazoa; Chordata; Aves; Passeriformes; Passeridae
Exons: 4
Source: RefSeq, a predicted model, not a curated record